GUAUCUGACUCAGGACCUGAUUUAAGGUUUGGGGUUUUUUGGCCCUUUGUUUCUUCCUCUUGUUUUUUGACCUUUAGUUACUCCACACCUCAUUAGUUCCUUGACCUGCAGGUGGACUGAGAAGAGAGCCAUGGUAGCAGGCAAGAGUGUGGUUAUCGUUGGACCAGGAUUCAGGAUCUGACUGAGUAGCUGACUCUUAAUCCAGUUUGUGUUGAUCACCAGGAGGAUCUGGACCUCAGUAUUACCACAUCUAGAGCUAUAAUCACAUCCCUGUUAAGCCUUCCUGAGAUCACACCAAAUGUCCUUGAUGGGAAUUGUAAACAACCCUUACUUCUGGUUUCUAAUGAUAUUCCAGGAAAGGAGCCUAACUAGAGUCAGUGAUAUGCCAACUCCACCUUUGCCUUCCACCAUGUUUGGAAGCUCCCUGAGGCCUCACCAGGAGCAGAUGCUCGUCCCAUGCUUCCUAUAAGCCUGCAGAACUGGAAAAGAAAGCUGGAUAAAGUAUUUAUAGAAGAUAGAGGACCUGUGGUGGCUCAUGCCUGUAAUCCAAGGUGGAAGGAUUGCUUGAGGCCAGAAGUUCAAGACCAGUCCAAGCAACAUAGCAAGGCCCCAUCUCUACAAAAAAUGAAAAUAAAAUUAGCCGAGCGUGAUGGCUCAUGCCUGUAGUUCUAGCUUCUAGAGAGGCUGAGGCAGGAGGAUUGCUUGAGUCCAGGAGUUCAAGAUUACAGUGAGCUAUGGUCACACCACUGCACUCCAGCCUGGGUGAUGGAGUGAGACUGUCUCAAUAAAAAGACAAAAAGGCUGGCCAGGGGCAGUGGUUCAUGCCUGUAAACCCAGCACUUUGGGAGGCAAAGGCAGGAGGAUUGCUUAAGCCCAGGAAUUUGAGAUCAGCCUGGACAACAUGGUGAGACCCCCAUCUCUACAAAAAUUUUUUUUAAAAGUUACCCAGGCAUGGUGUUGCACAUCUGUGUUCCCAGCUACUGGGGAGGCUGAGACGGGAGGAUCACUUGAGUCCAGGAAGUUGAGAGGUUGAGGCUGCUGUGAGCUGUGAUUGUGCCACUGCACUUUAGCCUGGACAACAGAGGGAGACCCUGUCAACAACAACAACAACAACAAAAAAGCAAAACAUCAUAGGCUGCAGAAAUAAACUUUCUUGUCAAUUGUGUCUUUAACCAUGACCAUUUUGAGUCAUUUCCACAGUGAGUUGCCUAAUUUUGAUGCAUUUCUGAAAACUCUUUAUAAGCAAGUAAAAUCCUAGAGAAUUGUGCCUUCAAGGAGACUCAUGGAAAGGAUGGAAAGAACUCUUGAAUACAUGUUUCUGAUAGCUUUAUGAUCAUAUCAUUUGGACUGGGUAAGAAUUCCCAGAACUCAUGAAGAGACUGACUAUUUAUUAAUCCAAGCAGGAAAAGAAUUAAUUGAAUACCAAGGAAAUACUGUGCCAGAGAUUUUCAUGCUAAAUCAGUCAGCACCGAAAUCGUUAAGAUGUGUAGUUUGAAUGAACUCCAUGAUCCUAGUCAAAUUUCCUAUGAUGACCCAUUUAAUAAACAGUGCUAUGCACCUGAAUUGGAGAAACAGAAUUGAUACUUAAAUCCAAUGUUAAUCAUAGAUUCAUGGAAAGCCUAAAUGGCUGCUUGGGUCUUCCUGAGCCCUUAAAGCUUCCAUUAUUAAAGGCUCUGCACUUUAUAAGUUAUCACUGAAGAGAGAAAAUGAUCCAGAUUUAAAAUACACAUAUUGGUGUGGUGAAUGUUCUAAAUUGCGAAAAUGGUUUAUGACCAACAUUUGGUUUGUCAUGCUCACAAUCCUGGAAAUACAUUCAAAACUUCAGGUACAUUUCUGCUACCUGAUGGGCUAUUUGAAUAUAUAGAGAGGGAUUUCAUUCAAUUGCCAUUUUCAUUGCAUGUUUUUUGGUUGUAUAGAAGCUUUCCCAUGCAAGGAGGCUGAUGCUGUUAUUACAGUAGCUAAAAGGUUAGUAGGAAAUGUGUUUUCCCCCAUGGGGCAUUCCUGGAGAAAUCUCUAGCAAUAAAGGUACUUGUUUGACUGGACAAGUUGUAAAACAGUUUAAUAAGGUUUUUUUUAGGUGUCAUAGCAUUAGGCAAAGCUAACUGAAUUGACUGGAUUGUCAUAGUCAAACAUAUUGCAGAUCCGCUUCCAAUAGAAGACAAUGAAAUAGUCACUGGAAAGCCUGUGCUCCUAAUUUUAGAACCUCAUGUAUCUUCUGCUCCUAAACUCUGAUAGGACUAAAUGCUGUGAGGCCUCAAUGCAUUAUGUUAAUGUGUAUUUUCACCAGGUCAAGGAAGCUUUUCCUGAUCCACUAACUAAGGACAAUCAAACCCUUCAUGAUCUAGAAUCUGGAGACUGUGUCUUCUGGGAAUAGUAUCAGAGAAAGACUGCCCUUACUGCCCACAUGUAGCAAAACUUUGAGACGUUGAAUUAUGGGUCCAUAAUCUCACAACUCAGAGGGGCACCUCUAGACUCUUGGAACUGUAUAUCUAUUGGAGACUUUAAGGUAAAGCUGAACAGAGAGACGUUUUUCUCCAGAAGCAGACAGCACCAUAGUCAUGGACAGCUUUCCCAAGAUCACAGAUCAAGACUUCUCUGCCGUCAUGAGACUCAUAACCUCUUAAUUUUUUCUUGCUUAUGCUUCUGUGAACAAUAGAAUUGGAAAAGGGGUGGUCCCGCGUGCACCCAUAGGGUAUACUUUUAUUUGUGGAGGAUUUUGCUGCCAACCUUAUACAUGGGCAAACUUAUGCCUUCAUGGAUGGAAGAUAAAGGGCUAAUAUGGGUUAGAAAUUUUAAUGGUACCUUUGUUUCUCCAUAAUCAUUCAGAAACAGAACACUGGUCCACUCUUGUUAACCUACAUCAUAGGUUGAAGAGAACAUUGCCAGGAGGCCUUCAUCCUUCCAGAUGGGCACCAUUUGUUGGGUCUUUUUCCGUGGUAUGAAGAAAAUGAAGCAAUGAUUAGAAAUUGGUCCCUCGGCCGGGCACAAUGGCUCAUGCCUGUAAUCCCAUCACUUUGGCAGGCCGAGGCGGGUGGAUCACCUGAGGUCAGGAGUUUGAGACCAGCCUGACCAAUGUGGUGAAACGCCAUCUCUACUAAAAAUACAAAAAUUAGCUGGGUGUGAUGGUGCACACCUGUAAUCCAGCUACUCGGGAGGCUGAGACAGGAGAAUUGCUUGAACCUGGGAGGCAGAGGUUGCAGUGAGCCAAGAUCACCCCACUGCAUUCCAGGUUGGGCAACAGAGCAAGACUCUGUCUCAAAAAAAAAAGAAGAAAGAAAGAAAUUGAUCCCUCAUAAUAGGCUGUAUAGCAGAUUCUACUGCAAAGGCUAUGGUUGCACAACAGACUUCUUUGAAUUUGCUUGCUAAACUUUUACUGGAUAAUACUGGGAUUACAGGUGUGAGCCACUGUGCCCAGCCUCUCCUGUUUAACUGUAUUCAUUCUAAUGUUUACUUACUUCUUUAAUUUGUAAAAUUGGGUCACUUAGAGUUUUUUUAGCCUAUCUUGCCAUUUAGCCACUGUUACUGAUAAUUUGGAUGGAAAAGAAAAAUAAAUUAUAUCACCUCUCA
This 3567-nucleotide long non-coding RNA is filed under the name Homo sapiens (human). Its description in RNAcentral is "PREDICTED lncRNA (TCONS_00060962)". The record is from RNAcentral. Lineage: Eukaryota; Metazoa; Chordata; Mammalia; Primates; Hominidae.